RNAcentral lists this long non-coding RNA (248 nucleotides) under Zostera marina. Its description in RNAcentral is "long non-coding RNA (ZMAR_LNC003940)". Lineage: Eukaryota; Viridiplantae; Streptophyta; Magnoliopsida; Alismatales; Zosteraceae. The record is from RNAcentral.
AAGAACACAAAGUCAGGAUCACGAUCGUGUGCGCUAAGAAGUAUCGUAUUUUUACGCCUUGGAGUCACUUCGAGUGAUAGUAGAUAGGUACUUGAUCGUAGUCCCUUUAUACAAUGAGGACCGCACUCACAGCUUCCUCUGAAGCUUCUAUGUACAAGUACAGGUCCUCCCCAUCCUUGGGUGAUGUCAGCAUUGGAAGCGAAGACAUGUGUGUCUUUAACUUAGUAAAUGCUUCCUCGCAUUCCAAG